UUUUAAAUUUAUUUAAGUAAAAAGUUUAAUUCUGUCUUUUAUUUUAAAUUAGCUUUUGAAUUUAUAAUAUUAAAUAUAAGUUUUUGCGAGGGUUAUAUUUAAUCUAAAUGAUUAAUUUAUUUUAUUAUUUGUAGUUUUUAUUUUUUUGUAUUACAGUAAUGUAGAUCUUAGUUAAUUAUCAGAAGAAUUGUAAAAGGGUGUGCCAGCAGACGCGGUUAUACACCCAAUUCAAGUUAAUUUUUUUGGUUUAUAUUUAUAAAUUUAUUUUUGGGAAUUAAUUUAAUUUUUGUUAGGUUAAAUUUUAAUUUUUAUUAUAUUU
RNAcentral lists this ribosomal RNA (319 nucleotides) under Acanthocoris sp. 2 CDM-2021a. Its description in RNAcentral is "partial small subunit ribosomal RNA". The record is from RNAcentral. Lineage: Eukaryota; Metazoa; Arthropoda; Insecta; Hemiptera; Coreidae.